Long non-coding RNA from Manduca sexta (tobacco hornworm), 1547 nucleotides. RefSeq lists it as uncharacterized. NCBI's taxonomy places the organism in Eukaryota, Metazoa, Arthropoda, Insecta, Lepidoptera, Sphingidae. The record is from RefSeq and is a predicted model, not a curated record. The transcript has 2 exons.
CUUACCUCGGUUGACAACCCUAGCCUCUGCCAGGUCGUGGUUCUGUUUAUUUGUACCACAAACACCGCCAUGGAGCGAUUCAUAAUACUACUUCUUCUCGUCCCUUACCUGUCAGGGUAUACCUUCGUCGAGGAGAACUCCUGUCCCUGUAGCCAACCGUUCCCCCUGCAGCCUGUGUGCGCUACAGACGGAAAGACCUACUGGAGCGAGGAGUGCGCGAAAUGCAUGAACCCAGCGCUCGUCAUCACCAGGAAAUGGUUCUGUCCACGGCUUGAUAUUGAGCUGGAAGGAUAAAUAAAACAUAGUAUAGUACUCGGCAGUAAGUGAAAAAACACUAACCCCCUUAUUCAAAGACGUUAUUAAACUAAGGACGGAGCAUUGUUGUGAUAACAAGUCUGUUUCUCAGCUUUGUUUAUCUAACAGCCAACUAAAUUCAAGUUGUAUCUAAAUAUUAGCCAAUCACAAUGGCCCUAUAUCUACGCACUGCGAAGGCUGCCAUGCCGUCAGCACUGAGAAACAGACUUAUUAUGACAGCAAUGCUCCGUCCUUAGAUGAAUAAAUAUAACUUAGGUGAAUAAAGGGGUAAGUCUUACUUAUAAACUCGUCUUAUGAUUUAGCGUUAAGAGGUGGUUAAGCAUUGCUUAAAUAGCUGUCAAAAUCAAACUUCGCCGGUGAUUAAAAGUUUAAGAGCAGACUAGUUAAGAUGUAAGCAUAGCUUUGCGAAAUUUUUAUAACACUGUAAGAUGUGUGUGGAAGCUAAACGACUUGAGUAUGGCUCAUAAUUUACAUUUAGUCGUUUGCGUUUUAUCGCCUAGCUGUCAGGUUAGCGAUAAUAAAUAAAUAUCGGCUGUGUAUUAUAUACUGUCCCACUGCUGGGCACAGGCCUCCUUUACUACUGAGAGGUAUGUACUGGUAGGCUUUAAUCCACCACGCUACAGCCGCUUAAUUAAAAUACAGCGCUAAAGACUUUAUUUUAUUUUUUCAUUUAGGAUUUAUUAUAAGUGACAAAGACGUUACCCUACAAAGCUGAAAUUAAAAGAUUGUCACUUUCUAAACUGAUGGUUUCACUCCCGUACUAUAAUAUAUCUAUGUCUGUAUGAAAACGUUUCUCGGGAUAAAUAUUUUCCCCGGAUAAAAAAUAGGAUACAGCACUCAGGAGUAAUGUAGCAGACUAUCAGAGAAAGAAUUUUUAAUAUCGAUUUAUUGUUUCCACAGUUUUGCACGUAUAAAUAAACACACAAACUUUUCCUCGUUAUAAUAUUAGUAUAUUUACUGGCGAGUACUGCAACCAUUUAAAACAUGUUUCGUUUUUUUAUUUCACACUGCAACAAAAAAAAAGUUCUUCUUAAGUUGGAGAUUUUUCGUAAUGGCUCAUAGUCUAUUCAUAGUUGUAUAAUUGUAUUAUUAAUUCUAUAUUAUGUCAAUAUGUGGAUAAUGGUGUGAGUUAAAUGUUUUUAUAUACAUUUAGAUUAAGAUUAGCCUUUAAUAUUCCUCAACAUGUAACCAUUUAUUGUCCCUACAAAUAAAAAUAUAACAGCUUUAUAAAA